UUGUGCCGCGUUGCUGGGAUGGUGGCUAAUGUCUUGGGGCAACACGGAUUAGAUGGUGACAAACCGCCCGGACAAGUCACGUUGCUCGCCACACACUGAGAUAAAUUUUCCACACACGCUGGUUUUUCCGUUGCGAUCUUUGUGACAGCCAAUGUGGCAAUGUGGUUGGCAAGGGGAGUGCAUGAAAGGAAGGAAAGCUGGAAGUCCUGGUUCUUUUUUGACAAGGGUGGACAAUGGCGAUUAGCGCUUGGCACUAAUGGGGGAAGCCCAGAUACAUGGGCGAGAGUUUUUCUGUUUGCUCAAAGGCUUCGAGCACACAAGGGCUGCGGAAAGCUGGAGAAAAUGGGGGAAAUCUGCGGGAAACCCAUGGAACGAGAAGCUGAUGUCUGGGGAGCUAUGUGUCCUGUUGCUGGUGCUGACUUGCCACUUGUCUUUAUUAGUUUUUCGUAUGAGUUUUGCUCCUGUCUCCCAAUGCACUGCUAAAUAAAUUUGAGAACUGUGAUU
Molecule: non-coding RNA, 504 nt
Organism: Drosophila melanogaster (fruit fly)
Lineage: Eukaryota; Metazoa; Arthropoda; Insecta; Diptera; Drosophilidae
Source: Ensembl